RNAcentral lists this ribosomal RNA (501 nucleotides) under uncultured bacterium. RNAcentral describes it as "partial 16S ribosomal RNA". It matches the Rfam family "Bacterial small subunit ribosomal RNA", at positions 30 to 523 of the family's 1533-position model. The record is from RNAcentral.
AUUGAACGCUGGCGGCAUGCCUUACACAUGCAAGUCGAACGGCAGCACGGGUGCUUGCACCUGGUGGCGAGUGGCGAACGGGUGAGUAAUAUAUCGGAACGUACCUUAUUGUGGGGGAUAACGCAGCGAAAGCUGUGCUAAUACCGCAUAAUCCCUAAGGGGGAAAGCGGGGGACCGUAAGGCCUCGCGCAAUUAGAGCGGCCGAUACCUGAUUAGCUAGUUGGUGAGGUAAAGGCUCACCAAGGCAACGAUCAGUAGCUGGUCUGAGAGGACGAUAAGCCACACUGGGACUGAGACACGGCCCAGACUCCUACGGGAGGCAGCAGUGGGGAAUUUUGGUCAAUGGGGGCAACCCUGAUCCAGCAAUGCCGCGUGAGUGAAGAAGGCCUUCGGGUUGUAAAGCUCUUUUGUCAGGGAAGAAACAGCAGCUCUAACACAGUUUGCGAAUGACGGUACCUGAAGAAUAAGCACCGGCUAACUACGUGCCAGCAGCCGCCGCAG